RNAcentral lists this small RNA (120 nucleotides) under Marmota monax (woodchuck). Lineage: Eukaryota; Metazoa; Chordata; Mammalia; Rodentia; Sciuridae. The record is from RNAcentral.
GCUGGGCGUGGUGGCGCACAUCUGUAAUCCUGGUGGCUUGGGAGGCUGAGGCAGGAGGAUCAGGAGUUCAGAGUUCAGCAAAAUCGAGGUGCUAAGCAACUCAGUGAGGCCCUGUCUCUA